This 459-nucleotide ribosomal RNA is filed under the name uncultured bacterium. Its description in RNAcentral is "partial 16S ribosomal RNA". It matches the Rfam family "Bacterial small subunit ribosomal RNA", at positions 338 to 795 of the family's 1533-position model. The record is from RNAcentral.
CCUACGGGUGGCAGCAGUGAGGAAUAUUGGUCAAUGGCCGCAGGGCUGAACCAGCCAAGUCGCGUGAGGGAUGACGGUCCUAUGGAUUGUAAACCUCUUUUGUCAGGGAGCAAAGGGCGCCACGUGUGGCGCUUUGCGAGUACCUGAAGAAAAAGCAUCGGCUAACUCCGUGCCAGCAGCCGCGGUAAUACGGGGGAUGCGAUCGUGAGCCGGAUUUAUUGGGUUGAGAGGGUGCGCAGGCGGAAUGUCAAGUCAGCGGUAAAAUUUCGGGGCUCAACCCCGUCGUGCCGUUGAAACUGGCGUUCUUGAGUGAGCGAGAAGUAUGCGGAAUGCGUGGUGUAGCAGUGAAAUGCGUAGAUAUCACGCAGAACACCGAUUGCGAAGGCAGCAUACCGGCGCUCAACUGACGCUCAUGCGCGAAAGCGUGGGUAUCGAACAGGAUUAGAUACCCUUGUAGUC